CCUACGGGUGGCUGCAGUGGGGAAUCUUCCGCAAUGGGCGAAAGCCUGACGGAGCAACGCCGCGUGAUCGAAUGAAGGCCUUCGGGUUGUAAAGAUCUGUUGACAGGGACGAAUAAGCAAUGCAAAUAGUUUUGUGUAUGACGGUACCUGUUUAGAAAGCUCCGGCUAACUACGUGCCAGCAGCCGCGGUAAUACGUAGGGAGCAAGCGUUGUCCGGAAUUACUGGGCGUAAAGGGCGCGUAGGUGGGCGCUUAAGUCAGGUGUGAAAACUCCGGGCUCAACCUGGAGACUGCACUUGAAACUGGGUGUCUUGAGGGCAGGAGAGGAAAGUGGAAUUCCUAGUGUAGCGGUGAAAUGCGUAGAUAUUAGGAGGAACACCGGUGGCGAAGGCGGCCUGCUGGACUGUGACUGACGUUGAGGCCCGAAGGCGUGGGGAGCGAACAGGAUUAGAUACCCCAGUAGUC
This 464-nucleotide ribosomal RNA is filed under the name uncultured bacterium. RNAcentral describes it as "partial 16S ribosomal RNA". It matches the Rfam family "Bacterial small subunit ribosomal RNA", at positions 338 to 795 of the family's 1533-position model. The record is from RNAcentral.